Molecule: ribosomal RNA, 621 nt
Filed under: Dietzia sp.
Lineage: Bacteria; Bacillati; Actinomycetota; Actinomycetes; Mycobacteriales; Dietziaceae
Description: bacterial SSU rRNA
Rfam family: Bacterial small subunit ribosomal RNA
Source: RNAcentral
GUGGGGGAAUAUUGCACAAUGGGCGAAAGCCUGAUGCAGCGACGCCGCGUGGGGGAUGACGGUCUUCGGAUUGUAAACCCCUUUCAGUAGGGACGAAGCGCAAGUGACGGUACCUGCAGAAGAAGCACCGGCUAACUACGUGCCAGCAGCCGCGGUAAUACGUAGGGUGCGAGCGUUGUCCGGAAUUACUGGGCGUAAAGAGCUCGUAGGCGGUUUGUCACGUCGUCUGUGAAAUCCCUCGGCUUAACCGGGGGCGUGCAGGCGAUACGGGCAGACUUGAGUACUACAGGGGAGACUGGAAUUCCUGGUGUAGCGGUGAAAUGCGCAGAUAUCAGGAGGAACACCGGUGGCGAAGGCGGGUCUCUGGGUAGUAACYGACGCUGAGGAGCGAAAGCAUGGGUAGCGAACAGGAUUAGAUACCCUGGUAGUCCAUGCCGUAAACGGUGGGCGCUAGGUGUGGGGUYCUUCCACGGACUCCGUGCCGUAGCUAACGCAUUAAGCGCCCCGCCUGGGGAGUACGGCCGCAAGGCUAAAACUCAAAGGAAUUGACGGGGGCCCGCACAAGCGGCGGAGCAUGUGGAUWRAUUYGAUGCAACGCGAAGAACCUUACCUAGGCUUGAC